Myotis lucifugus (little brown bat) is the source of this 132-nucleotide small nucleolar RNA. Ensembl annotates it as small nucleolar RNA SNORA31. The record is from Ensembl. NCBI's taxonomy places the organism in Eukaryota, Metazoa, Chordata, Mammalia, Chiroptera, Vespertilionidae.
GUGCAUCUAUUUGACAGUCCUGGAGCAGUUACUGUUGCUGCCAAGGUUCCAGUGCAGAUGCAAGAAAAAAGGGUCCUCGCGCUUUCUGUCUGUCUGAUUGUGGCAGCCAAGAUUGAAUGGGGGAAUACAGUG